CUAGAGUCUCCUGCUCCUCCAUUCCUGCUUCCUCCUCACGCUGCCCCCUACAUCCUCCCCAACUCACCUUCAUGCUACAUCUCGGCAAAUACAGCUCAUAUCCAGACACAGUGCUGCCCUUGACAGCUGGGUCCGCAAAGGCAGGUCGGAUGUUCUGCCAAUUGAAUGGAAACUGUCUAUAGUGGGGAGCAGAGGGCCUCAUCUUUUCUGGAACUGAACAUCCAUCCUUAAGGCCAGAGUUCUCCUACCACCAACUUUAACUCCUGCCCUAGCCCUCUCUCUUCCUUUUCAAAACCCUCUCCACCCAGGAAGGGAGAUUCUGGAGCCAAGACUACCAGCCACAAUUUCCCAGAGUUGUUAAGGAAGGAACUCGAAGCCAGGGGUGGUCCUCUGGCAAGUGCCCCCACCACCAAUAGCAGGACAGAUGUGUUUCUAAAGGACUACACUAUCCCCGGAGGUCACAUGAUUCAGGCUGCCAAGGGUACCUGCCCUUGGGAAAUCAACUCCUGAAGGUAAACUGGGAUUGGGCCCUGAGAAGAUCCAUGGAAGCCCAGAGGACCCUGCCUCCCUCUGUUGCUUUAUGCUGUAGAGGCAGUACUGGGGAGGGCCUGCCCCACAUCCGGCGGGGCAGCUGAGACCAUGCAUUUGAUGACACUCUGCUCCCUCAAUGUGGAGCCUCAUCCUCAUCUCACAGUCCAGUAGGCCUCUGGUGGGUUAGGCUUGUCUCACCCAGUGUGUGAGUUUUUUUGGAAGUGACCUGAUUUUGGAGUUUCCCUCCAAGCCUUUCCCAGGCACAUGCUUUCUCUUUCAUUCUGUCUUCUUUUUUCGAUCUUCUUAAAUCUGAUUUUCUCCUUUUUCCCCUGUCAUCUCUAUCUUUUUUCCAGUCUCUCGCUUCUCUUUAUUUCUCCCCAUAUUUCACUCUGUUCUCUCACCCCACCCUUUCCCUUCUGUAUCUCUCUCUCCCUUUCUUCCCACCCCCUGCCUGGCCUUCCAUAUAUCAAGCAGAGUUUUAUUACCUUAUGCAGGGGCAGCCCUGCCACCUGCCAUAAAGGUGAUAGGCUAAUGACAGUUUGUGGAUAUUGCCAUGUCACAAGUCCAGGAAUAGCAUCAAAAAUAGCCCUGAUGUCUAAACCACUUCAGCUAUCUUUUUUAUUUUUAAAAUAAAUACAUUCACAUGCUUUUAAGAAACUAUAAAAAUGUAUAAAGUAAAAAGAUCUUUCUCUCACACUGUCUCCACCUCUCCUGGUCUCACCGUUGUGCUUAGGGGAAACCAUUGUGAUUAGUUUCUUCUAUGUCCUUCCAGAGUGUCUUUAUGCAGUUGAAAAUUAUUGUGAUAAUAUAUUCCUAUUUUCCCCCUUACUACACAGAAGGUAGACUACCAUAAUCCCAUUCUGCACUUUUUUUCACUUGAUAAUAAAAACAUGAUUUUAUUAA
RNAcentral lists this long non-coding RNA (1434 nucleotides) under Pongo abelii (Sumatran orangutan). Its description in RNAcentral is "lincRNA". Lineage: Eukaryota; Metazoa; Chordata; Mammalia; Primates; Hominidae. The record is from RNAcentral.